Molecule: long non-coding RNA, 1763 nt
Organism: Mytilus californianus (California mussel)
Lineage: Eukaryota; Metazoa; Mollusca; Bivalvia; Mytilida; Mytilidae
Exons: 2
Source: RefSeq, a predicted model, not a curated record
UAUAAAGAGACACAUCUAAAGACAUGAUGAACUGGAAUAUGCCUUAUUGUCAUUAAAGAAUUGUUAAAAAAAAAAAUGAUAUUAAAAGAAAGAAGAAAUUGGAGACUGGAUGCAAAAUAAUCUAAGACUGAAGACUAGGAUAAUCUUCCAGGUAUGUUACACUGUAGUCUAGGUUAUUUAUAUAAUUAACUAAUAAGAAUGUGCUCGAUUGUUUGUACUUUCGCAAACAAAAUAUCCUUCCAUAUAUCAAAGCCUAUUAUCGGAUGAAUUAAAAUAAAGCAGCAAAAUAAGUGUUUGAUGCAUAUUCCCACAUUUUGUUUUGCUUUUCUGAUAUCAACAAACUUAAAUCUUAUAUCAUUUACUAAGAAUCAAUAGAGAAAAUGAUUCAAAUAAUAAUGAAACAAAAAAUAUCCGUUGAAUAUUUUUUCUCUCAAUUUUCUUGUAAUUACGAAGAAAAAAAUUCAAGGAUAACUUCUUCAUGUACAUUGAGUAUUUUACACUGUACAUAUUACAAAAAAGUUCAUGAAAUUGAUGAUAUUACGCGUUUCUGUUAAAAAAAAUGAAGAUAAAACGCGCUCAAUCUAUAACAGUUAUCUUAUUCUAAUUGUAUCUACAACACCAAAAGUAUAUCCCUUAGGACUGUGUCUAGAUUAAUAACAAUCCUUAUAUUUGAAAAAAAUAUAAUCCGAAUGCUUAAAUUGAUAACAGUUACAAUAUUUAAAUUAAUAAUCAGCCAAAUAUUUAAAUUAGAGCAAAUAUGCAAUUUCGACCAUUUCAGUUUCUUGAACUAUUUGUUCCUCACACAAUAUUAUUGAUGAAAAUAGCAAGUACGCUAAAAAAUAUUGUUGAGUAUCUAUUUUUUUUCUUUAUUUUUAAACCCCCAAGGGUGACUGAGGGAAUAUAAUUAUUGUCAGUUAGAUCUUCAUCUGACCGGCAGUAAAACCCUUGUCAAAGUAGGGCGUCCGUUUGGCUGAGCGGGAUAUACAAGUACGCUGCCAAGUCCGGUCAGAAUUGGAAUUUUAAAUCCGAUGCCUCCUGUAAUGAGAGAGCCACGCUUUCUGCAUGUUAAGAACUCUUGCAACAACUAUUUGAGGGGGCUGUAUCUGGCCUGUUGCAAGGCAAACUUUUUCCUAUCCAAUAUAACCUCAUUUUCCAGUGGCAGUUUUAAAUUCCCCGACCAUGAUCCCGGACGGGCUCUAUUACAGGACCUACCUUUUGUAUUUAUUACUAAUUUGUUCUCGUCCUGAACAUGCUUAAAAUAUUUCUCUCUUAAUAUAGCAAACAAUUAGAAAAUCAGGCUAGGGAGUUUUGUGUAAAAUUGAUAUAAAAAGUUGCUACGCAAAAACUUGCAUAUCGACUUCAAUUUAUUUUUCUAAUAGAUCUACACCUGAUAAGAGCAUGUCAAUUAACCGCAUAUGUUUACAGCUAUAUUAGUGAAAUUCAGAAAGAAAAAAUUCAUUGACAUGCAGCAAAGAGUAACAAUAUUGAAAUUAAGUAACAUGGGGAUUUAAACGGAUGCACAUAUUUGAUGCAAAUACAACGAGAUGACCGCACACACAUGUACAGAAUUUCGAGAGACCUAUUUUAUUUUUUUUAAAUAUUUUUCCUUGAUUUUUUAACCAGAACAGACACAACUUUUAAAUCUUUAUAUUUAGGCAGAUGAUAUUUUAUAUUGCAUGUUCACUUAACAUUGAGCAGAUCAGUGUACUCGAAAACUUUAAUGUAGAAAAAAGGGUAAAUUUGGGGAAUUAUUGCAUGCUUAG